GAAAAUUCUCUACACAAAUCUAACAUUUACAAUGUUAUUAUUCCUGAACAUUCUCUACAUCUAAUGUGAUAAUACACCUUCAUGAUUUAUGGUACAUGGCUGGACAGAAAUCUACCUCCAAGCAAGUUCCAGCCUGCAUAUUUACCUGUGUGUGUACUCUUGUAGGGCCUUACUAUUAUCUUGAAAUAUUUUCUAUACAGUGUACGUCUCUUCUGCAAAUGGAGUAGAAAGCUGCUGAGCUUUCUUCUCUAUCCAGACAUAAGGAGGGGAGAUCAGUUGAUUGACAGCUAUAUUAUUUUGUAUCGCUUUUGUAAUUAACCAUGUAAAUUGCAGCCACUGUGACAAAUGCUCCAAUUAGUUGCACAGGUGUGAAGAUCUCAUCUAGAUAUAGGAACCCAAAAAUUGAUGCAAACAUUGGAGUUAAAAAGGUAAGGGAGCUGAGCUUUGUCAGGCUACCUCUUGUUGCAUUGUAGAAGUAUACACCAUAGCUUAUGGCACUUCCAAAGAUUGAGGUAUAGAGCAAUGCCAACAAGUCAUUUGUUGUUAGUUCCAUCAAACUCCCACUAAUGACAGGUUCAUGAUUGAGAAUUGAGAUAGCCACCAGAGGAAGUCCCCCAAUAACCAUGUGCCAUCCAGUAGCCAUGACUGGGUCCGAGUAUUUAGAAACCCAACGAACCAUUACUGUGCCGACAGCCAUGCUUUGUGCUGCUAGAAACAUCCACCACUCUCCACUUCCCCAGAUUGAAAAGUUGCUAUUAUCAAAAGAGAGAGCAGGUACCUCAAGGAGUAAAAGGCCUAUCACCCCGAGCACAAGACCUGCAGCUCCGACAGAACCUAUGGACUCUCCAAAUAACAAAGCUGCAAGCACAGCCACUGUCAGAGGCUGUGAAUCAAUUAUCACACUGCCUAAGCCAGCAGAUGUCCUCUGAAGUCCUUCUGCAAGAAAUCCCUGAAAACAAGUAGCAUCAACUACAGCGAAGAGUGUAAUAGAGAGCCAAGCAUUGAAUCCAGAAGGGAGAUUUCUACCCCUUGAAGCAGCAAAACCGACCAACAUUAACCCAGCAGGAAUCAACCUAAAUGAUGAAACGAAAAAAGGUCCAGUCUUUGGCAAAACCUCCUUCAUUGCAACCAUAGCUGUACCCCAGAAGAAGAAAGGCGAAAUUAGCAAAACCCAUUCCAAAAUCGUCUGAAGCAACUCCAUGGAUGACACCCCUUCAUCUUGAAACCGUAAAUUAGAGUCUUUGGGGAAUUCCUCAGAAGGGUUCACUACACACUCCACGUCAAGCCCAGUUCCUACACAGUCAAGUUCUGAUGAUGAUGGUGGUGAGUUCUGUUCAACCCCAGAUUCAGUUCUUGAGCAAGCAGUAAACUUUUUGGUGCG
Molecule: unclassified non-coding RNA, 1381 nt
Filed under: Hevea brasiliensis (rubber tree)
Lineage: Eukaryota; Viridiplantae; Streptophyta; Magnoliopsida; Malpighiales; Euphorbiaceae
Source: RNAcentral